This 466-nucleotide ribosomal RNA is filed under the name Dosinia exoleta. RNAcentral describes it as "partial 16S ribosomal RNA". It matches the Rfam family "Bacterial large subunit ribosomal RNA", at positions 1817 to 2596 of the family's 2925-position model. Lineage: Eukaryota; Metazoa; Mollusca; Bivalvia; Venerida; Veneridae. The record is from RNAcentral.
CGCUCUNUGAAAAAAAAGAUAAAGAGUCGGGCCUGCCCUGUGUGAAAAUUAACGGCUGCAACGAGAGUUGUACUAAGGUAGCAUAGUAACUUGUCCUCUAAUUAAGGAAUAGAAUGAAUGGUUUGAUGUAGAAUAGCUGUCUCCAUAGAAAUUUGUGAAUUUUCCUUUUAAGUGAAAAGGCUUAAUUAUUUGUAAAAGACGAGAAGACCCUGUCGAGUUUAAUUGAAAUUUUUAUAAAGUUAUAAUUUUUAAUCUUUAUUGGGGCAAUAUAAAUCAAAAUAACGGUUUAUAAAAAAUAACUAAGAUCCUUUUUAGAAAGAAAUAGGCAAAAACUACCGCAGGGAUAACAGCGUUAUCCUUUUUAAGAGAUCGAAUUGAGAAAAGGGUUUGCGACCUCGAUGUUGGAUUAGGAAAACUUUAUGGUGUAGCAGCUAUAAAUAGUAAGACUGUUCGUCUUUUAAUUUUU